This is a long non-coding RNA of Drosophila mojavensis, 1270 nucleotides long. RefSeq lists it as uncharacterized. The record is from RefSeq and is a predicted model, not a curated record. The transcript is spliced from 2 exons. Lineage: Eukaryota; Metazoa; Arthropoda; Insecta; Diptera; Drosophilidae.
GCACACACACUCUCACAUUUAAACACCUACACAUGUGUUGUGAGGCGGCGAGUCCUGUGGCGGAGUCGGGUCGUCGCCUCAGUUUUGGACAAACACUCCGAGAGGCACGUCAGGGCCUAGCGUUCGCGCUUCUCGUCUCGAUUCCGUGUGCGUUGUGCUGUGUGAUGUGUGAUGUGUGUGUGCCAGUGUGAGCUUGCCUAUGAAAAUCCAGAAAAGGCAACAAAUUCUUCUUCGCUGGCAAAUGCUGUAAUCGGCGUUAAAUUGCCUACAAUAAUCAAAAUACAAAAAUAAAUAAUAUACAUUCAAAAUACAGUAACAAAUAAAACCAACAACAACAACAGCAAAUUCGUUAAGCAGCAAAGAUGUGCGGAGCAGCGCCAUUUCGGCUGUCAAAACUGUCAAGUGCGGCGCCCUUCAUAUUGUUCUUUCCCCAUCAGUGUCAGAGCCAACAAGAACUGCAAUGAAUUAAAAACAACAACAAAAAUAAACAAUAACAAAAGCUAUAACAAGAAGAGGAAGAAGUAGACAAAGUGUUAGCAUUAUAAUGCAAAUAUUAAAGCUGCCGGCGAGAUUAAUCAAAAGUAAAGCAAAAAUUAAAAUCAACUCAUUCAAUACAAAUGAAGACGCUGGCGAGCGUCUUCCUUUCACCGUCUGACUGACUGUGACUCUCUCGCUCUCGCUCUCUGUCUCACCAUCUCCCCCACUGUCUUGUGCGCGCUAUCUCUAUCUAUUGCUCGCCUGAAUGCCCGCCUGCACACGUACUCCCGCUUAACCGUUAACUACUCACGCGCGCGCUCUUUGCCACUCGCUGCCGCUCUCUUGCUCAGUCCCGCUCUCGCUCUGGUGGCUCUCUGUGCGGUGGGAGUGUGAGCCUUGGUUGGUUGGUCAAACAGCUGUUUAUCCGGUCUCCUUGUGCGUCGACGCGUGUGUACAUAACCUCAAUUGGCAGCAGUUCGUGUCGCGCCCGUUGCGUACUCGGGCCGCUCUUGAAUGUCGCGGUAGGCGGCGACGCCAGCUGCCAGCGCUGCCAGCGCUGCCAACGCAACGUCGGCGUCAACGUCAGCGUCAGCGUUAGCUUUGACAUACGCUGCAAGUGUCCAACACUCGCACUCGUACUCUCUCUAUCCCACUGCCUGUCUCCAUCUCUCCCUCUUUUUCUCUCUCGCUCUCUCAGUCUCUAUCAAAUUGACGAGUGCAACGCGAACGGCAACGACAGCGACAACGACUAACCCUAGGAGCAGCUCUCAGGCCGAGCCGCAGGCUUUGGCUG